Molecule: ribosomal RNA, 468 nt
Filed under: uncultured bacterium
Lineage: Bacteria
Description: partial 16S ribosomal RNA
Rfam family: Bacterial small subunit ribosomal RNA
Source: RNAcentral
GACGAACGCUGGCGGCGUGCUUAACACAUGCAAGUCGAACGGAAAGGCCCUGCUUUUGUGGGGUGCUCGAGUUGCGAACGGGUGAGUAACACGUGAGUAACCAGCCCUUGACUUUGGGAUAACUUCAGGAAACUGGGGCUAAUACCGGAUAGGAGCUCCUGCUGCAUGGUGGGGGUUGGAAAGUUUCGGCGGUUGGGGAUGGACUCGCGGCUUAUCAGCUUGUUGGUGGGGUAGUGGCUUACCAAGGCUUUGACGGGUAGCCGGCCUGAGAGGGUGACCGGCCACAUUGGGACUGAGAUACGGCCCAGACUCCUACGGGAGGCAGCAGUGGGGAAUAUUGCACAAUGGGCGGAAGCCUGAUGCAGCAACGCCGCGUGCGGGAUGACGGCCUUCGGGUUGUAAACCGCUUUCGCCUGUGACGAAGCGUGAGUGACGGUAAUGGGUAAAGAAGCACCGGCUAACUACGUG